UUAUAUCGCGCUGCCUUUCUGCUAGUAAAGUUAGGGCAGUAUUUUGAUUUUUUGUUGUGAUUGUGAAAAAUGUCGCCAUUGUAGGUCGUUUAUGCUGAAUCGAGAAUUGCAACAGGAGCUCACAUCAUUGUUCAGGGAAAAAACUGGAUAGUGUAAUACAAUUGUUGCCUUUUAUAUGUGUAAAAACACAGUAAGGGAAGCAGGUUGAGGAGGUGACGGGAAGACGCCGUAUAUUAAAUGUAAUAAUGUCAUUUAACCCACUCACUAUCGCUCAAUAAAAUAAACACAUAGCUGAGUGUUUUUGAAAGUGUUGUCUUUGUUGUUGAAUCGACUUCUGUCAGCUUGUUAAACAUUUAUUUAUUUGGACAUUUUCUACCAUAUGAUGGCUAAAGCAGCAGCGCGUGACACUGUUCUCAUGGUAACCAGAUCAACAUUGUGAACGGAAUUCUACAAAACUGAAGUGAAAACACCAAAUUAUCAUUCAGUGGAAUAAAAUAGCUUCUCUUCCCUGCAAAUGAUACCAUGAAGAAGGUGGAUAUUGAACCAAGUCAAAAACAAAUAAGCUAAUGAGAAGAUGUGAUAAUAUUGCAGUAAACAAAUGACAGACCUAUGUCACAUCCAAUCCAUUAUGAAAAGAAAAAUUUCCUUAGUAUGAAGAAAGGAUGAAAAAGAAGAAGAAGAAAAAAACAAAAAACAAAAGCAUAUCCUAUAUUUGGAGUGUGUGAGGCUGCAGCGUUCGAGCCAGACACUACAGGGCGAACGUCAGAGUCUUGGCGCAGACGCGAGAAGCCCGUGAUCUUUUGACAGCGUUCUCUACCUGAUGACAUUCUCCAGAGGGCUAUCCGUACUCCCAGACCAUCUGUGAAUGCACUCAGUCUAUGAAACUCACUUUCAAAAAAGGCCAGAUGGAAGUUCACCCUACAGGAUCUGAGGUCACCAACACAGUCUGCCACAGGGAAGCAAUGAUACCCAAGAAUGUAUGUUGGAGUGCAUGUACUGGUGCUACAGCUUAACACAGAUGCCCCUGCUGCGGAUCGACAAGCUCCACACAGUGAGAUGGACUCCCAGUAAAAGCUAAUCCUUCACCCUCCGCGUUCUCCAGCUGCUACAAUGGCCAUUGUAGCUCAAAGGACUUGUCAACAACUGGGAAAACUGAAAGCCCUUUUGUUGUGAGUUUGUCUACAUUAUCUAAAGUGUCCUCAAACCACUCAGUGAAGAACAGGGGUGGGCUAUCUAUCAGCCCUGUGCUGUAUAAAGUGUGACUUUUAGCAUUAGUUUAAAUGGUUUCAAUUCAAUACACAACCACAGCAGUGAUUUCUCUGAAAACACUUUUUUUCUUCUUUUUUUUUUCUAAAUGGUAAAGAAAAACAUGUGUUGGUGUUUUCUGCAAUUAACAGUUUGGGUGGAUUUUCAGAUUUUCAGAUGAUUUUGGCUUUAUGGUAUAGGCUUUUUAUGUUACUUUUUAAAUUAGGGGCCAAGUGCCGAAGGUGCGUAGGCACCUAUUAUAAUCGUUGGCGUUCUUAUUAUUAUUUUUACGUUUCCACUCUGGAAGUCUAUGGCAGCCCAUAGAACUGCUUGUGGGAAUGUUAUGAAAUAUGGCACACUGACAGAGGACAGUCUGAACUGUCACCAUAGUAAAUUUGGAGUCUCUAACUCAAACCCCCUAGCACCGCCAACUGUCCAAAGUUGUACUCGUGUUUAUCUUAAUAGCUUUUGAACUGUAAGGGCUAGAAACAGUGAUUCCUCUGAUUCCUUGGCUCAAGACGAUUUCCCGCCAUUUUGAAUUUUCCAUUUUCAUCAAAAUUGAACCAGAUCAUCUUCAGACCAUACUGAUAAAAAUUUAGAAUUUUUGAAUUUUGUCACAAAAUGCUAUAUUUUUUACGAACGCAUUGGCAUAUUGUUAUGAAACUCGGUAUGUGUCUUCGACACCAUGUCCUGAUGAUACUCAAAUAGUUUUGGUGCAGCACCACCUUGUGGUCAAAAGUUUGAAAUUUACAAAUAUGCUAAUAACUUUUGAGUAAAUUAGCCGAUUGUAAUGAAACUCGUCUUAAUGAUUCCUUGGGUCAUGCCAAGAAUAUAGAUACCAGAAUUGACCAUAGUCAGCCACUUCCUGUCCACCAUUUUGAUUUUCUUUAAAAACUUACUUUUUCGAACUCCUAGACCAUUAGUCCAAUUUUCACUAAAAUUGAAUCAUAUCAUUUUCAGACCAUGCUGGCAAAAAGUUAUGGAUUUUGUAAACCACGGCAACAAAGUUGAGGCAUGAUGCCAAAGCAACUUUUGAGGCUAUAUCUCUGCAAUGCUAUGAAAUAUUGACACCAAACUUUGUCACCUCACUCUACACCACAUCAAAUUAGUCACAGAGCCACCUAUUGGUCGAAAGUCAUAAACCAUUAAAGUUUGCCUGUGUUUAUGAUUUUUUUUUUUAGGCAUUUUGAAUAAAAUCAUCUUAAUAUGCCUUUAAUUGCUCAUUGUUGCAGUUAGUCUGACG
This is a long non-coding RNA of Megalobrama amblycephala (Wuchang bream), 2488 nucleotides long. RefSeq lists it as uncharacterized. Lineage: Eukaryota; Metazoa; Chordata; Actinopteri; Cypriniformes; Xenocyprididae. The record is from RefSeq and is a predicted model, not a curated record. The transcript has 7 exons.